UACGGAGGGUGCGAGCGUUGUCCGGAUUUAUUGGGUUUAAAGGGUGGCGUAGGCGGUUUAUUAAGUCAGUGGUGAAAGACGGUCGCUCAACGAUUGCAGUGCCAUUGAUACUGGUAGACUUGAGUUCGUAUGAGGUAGCUGGAAUGGAUAGUGUAGCGGUGAAAUGCAUAGAUAUUAUCCAGAACUCCAAUUGCGUAGGCAGGUUACUAAUACGAUACUGACGCUGAUGCACGAAAGUGUGGGGGAUCAAACAGGAUUAGAUACCCGCGUAGU
This 273-nucleotide ribosomal RNA is filed under the name uncultured bacterium. RNAcentral's name for it is "partial 16S ribosomal RNA". It matches the Rfam family "Bacterial small subunit ribosomal RNA", at positions 524 to 794 of the family's 1533-position model. The record is from RNAcentral.